CCUGUGAACAGAUCAGUUUGGAUUAAUAAGAGCAAAUAGAAGUAGAAAUAAAUAGCAAAGAGUAAGGGAAGCUCUUUCCAGUGUAACUGUGAAACAACUAAGAUGAACUAGAAAUAAGGUGGUAAUGCCAACAGCAAGCUAGCUUUCACAGCAUCACCACCAUGCAGCUGAUCUGACCUAAAAAUUAAUAAGACCAGGUCAACUGCCUGAGAGCUACCCUCCGUUGCAAGAUAGUACAGGUGUCUAAUUAGUAUACACAAUUUUAUGCAGGCCCCAUCAAAAGAGUGUCAUUAACAAGUAUCUCACGCAGGCUCCACCUGAAAAUGGAAAAUGUUAGGCAUUGAGGUCUGCUUUAAUUAUGAAAAGCCACAUCAGAGCGGCUUCAGUUCCAUGUUCAGCCACUACAAUCCAAAUGCAAGCAGCCCUUUUUAGAGACAUAAUAGGUUACUUUGAAUGGCUAACAGACACAAGACAUUUUAAAAAGAAGGUGCAUAAUUUUCUGAGACCAGCCUUCAAGUCAAUCAUCAUUCUUAUGUAAGGAAGUUUGCUUGGUCUCUGAGUGCAACCUGCCCUUUUUGUCUUGCUGAAGGAGGCUCAUGCUUGUUUUUGUAACCAUCAUGCUUAACGACUCGACCAAGCUAUCCACGCAAACAUAAGUGUGAUUUGGCAAUUUCCAAAUGAACCAGAAAGCUUGCAUGAACUUGAUUCCAUCAGUUCAUAUAUAGCUUGCAUGAAACUGAUUCCACCAUUUACACCACCUAAUUCUCUUUGGGAAAAUUUGAAUAUAAGUUUACAUAAAAUAUCAUAUGGACUGAUUAUAAACACUGAUCUAACCAGCUAUACCGAAGUCUGGCUUCUUUGUUGCCUUC
RNAcentral lists this long non-coding RNA (869 nucleotides) under Phoenix dactylifera (date palm). RNAcentral describes it as "long non-coding RNA (PDAC_LNC011988)". Lineage: Eukaryota; Viridiplantae; Streptophyta; Magnoliopsida; Arecales; Arecaceae. The record is from RNAcentral.